RNAcentral lists this ribosomal RNA (449 nucleotides) under uncultured bacterium. Its description in RNAcentral is "partial 16S ribosomal RNA". It matches the Rfam family "Bacterial small subunit ribosomal RNA", at positions 29 to 523 of the family's 1533-position model. The record is from RNAcentral.
AACGAACGCUGGCGGCAGGCUUAACACAUGCAAGUCGAACGCAUCCUUCGGGGUGAGUGGCAGACGGGUGAGUAACGCGUGGGAACGUGCCCUUCAGUUCGGGAUAACCCAGGGAAACUUGGGCUAAUACCGGAUACGUGCGAGAGCAGAAAGAUUUAUCGCUGAAGGAUCGGCCCGCGUCUGAUUAGCUAGUUGGUGGGGUAAUGGCCCACCAAGGCGACGAUCAGUAGCUGGUCUGAGAGGAUGAUCAGCCACAUUGGGACUGAGACACGGCCCAACCUCCUACGGGAGGCAGCAGUGGGGAAUAUUGGACAAUGGGCGCAAGCCUGAUCCAGCCAUGCCGCGUGAGUGAUGAAGGCCUCAGGGUUGUAAAGCUCUUUCGUCCGGGACGAUAAUGACGGUACCGGAAGAAGAAGCCCCGGCUAACUUCGUGCCAGCAGCCGCCGUAA